GUCACAAGGUUACUGUUUCAGUAAGAAUCAUUAAGCUACUGUAAAAGACGUGACUCUUACUCAGAGACGUGUUUCACAUCAGGUCAAAAAUGUUCUUGUAGCUUGUAAUAUAGGCAGGAUUUUGAUGGUUAUUUGUUGUUCCCUGUAAUUAAAAAAACAACAAGAUUGAAACAGAAUUUCUUCUACAAACAGGACAUUUAUCUGCUGGUGUUUGGCAUCAGGAUGGUGCAGAAGUCAGUGGUGGUGAGUUUGGCGUUGCUGCUAAUUGCUUCCCUUGCUACAUUUUUAGGUGUGUUUUUUGGAUAUAGGGGUAAACCUUCAGCUGUCAACACUGAGAGAUCCUACACACACGCGGCCAUAGCAGCAGACGCUGGGCCGUGCUCGGAAGUUGGCAGAGACAUUCUCCUAAAGGGAGGUUCUGCUGUAGAUGCAGCAAUUGCUGGACUGUUGUGUGCAGGUUUGAUGAAUGCUCACAGUAUGGGUAUUGGAGGAGGCCUGUUCCUUACCAUCUACAACGCUACAACAGGAAAAGUGGAAACGAUUGAUGCGCGUGAGACAGCACCAUCUAACUCCUCUCGGGACAUGUUCGGGAACAGCACUGAUCUUUCACGGAAGGGCGGCCUUUCUAUUGCUGUUCCUGGAGAAAUUCGAGGAUAUGAACUGGCUUAUCAGCGUCAUGGGAAACUGGCCUGGAAAGAUCUAUUCACACCAAGCAUCGAACUUGCAAAGAAGGGAUUUCCUGUGGGUAAAGCUCUUGGUGGAGCUAUUUACAGCAAGAGAAACAUGAUCCGGAAUGACAAAACUUUAUGUUCUGUGUUCUGUAACACAAACGGAGAUAUCCUAAAGGAAAAUGACACAAUCACCUUCCUUAAGUUGGCGGAUACGUAUCAGCAGAUUGCAGAGAAAGGGGCAGAUGCUUUUUACAAUGGCUCGAUCGCAGAAAAUCUUGUAACAGACAUCAGGAAUGCAGGUGGUAUCAUAACUAUGGAAGAUUUAUUGAAUUACACUCCACUAUUGAAUGAAAAUCCUUUGAAAGUACAACUGAGGGAAUUUACAAUGUUUGUGCCAAAUGCUCCAUCCAGUGGCCCCAUUCUCACCCUCAUCCUCAACAUACUGAGCGGAUAUAACUUUAAAUCAGACAGCGUUUCCAACACUCAGGAGAAAAUACUCACAUAUCAUCGUAUAGUGGAAGCUUUCAAAUUUGCAUAUGCUAAACGCAGUGUUUUGGGAGACCCCAAAUUUCUUAACAUCAGUGAUUUUAUACAGAACAUCACAACUAAAAGCUUUGCUGAUUCGAUUCGGCAGAAAAUCACAGAUAUCACGACACAUAAUGAAAGUUAUUACAAACCUGAAUAUUUUCUUCCGGAAAAUCAUGGAACUUCUCAUAUUUCUGUAGUGGAUGCAGAUGGAAAUGCAGUUGCUGCCACCAGCACCAUUAAUCAAUUUUUUGGCUCCAUGGUCAUGUCCCCAUCAACUGGAGUGUUGCUGAAUAAUGAGAUGGACGAUUUCAGUUCUCCUCUCAUAACUAAUGGAUUCGGUGUUCCACCUUCACCUAAUAACUUCAUCGUACCACAUAAGCGUCCCAUGUCGUCUAUGUGUCCUGCUAUUCUGUUUGAUAAAAAUAAUAAAGUUAAACUGGUGGUUGGUGGCUCAGGAGGGACAAAAAUAACAACAGCUGUUGCUUUGGUCAUUUUAAAUUCACUGUUCUUCAACUACGAUCUGAAGAAAGCUGUUUCUGAUCCCCGAAUUCAUCAUCAGCUCAGUCCAGACUUCAUUAUAUUAGAGCCAGACUUUGAUACGAGAGCACUCGCAGGAACUGGUCCAUCACCACCCGCUCUAUCACUUCCUUUAAACUCUGGCUUGAGCCAACAGCGGGUGAUCCGGAGAAGCUCCUUGAACUGGGAUCGUGAGUUCAGCUCCGGGGAAUACCGGCAGUGAUGGAAGUCGAUGGCCGCAUUUAUGGGGGAUUGGCUGCAGCGAGUGAGGAUCUCCUGACGCACCCACUCGUAGUCGAGGGCCUUCUCCUCCUCCAGCUUCUCCUGUGAGCAGAGGGGCUAGGAGGUUUGCCCACUCAACCCUACGCCAGCCUUCCCGGUCUGCGGUGGGCUCGAAUGCCGUAAUAGAGGGACUUAUUAAGAAGAAUCACCUGAUUGAGAUGUUGACAUCAACGGGCGCCGUCGUUCAGGCGAUCCUGCAAGAGGGAAACCGUCUAUACGCCGAAUCCGAUCCUCGAAAGGGAGGAUACUCUGCAGGA
Molecule: RNA transcript, 2254 nt
Organism: Tachysurus vachellii
Lineage: Eukaryota; Metazoa; Chordata; Actinopteri; Siluriformes; Bagridae
Gene: ggt1b
Gene name: gamma-glutamyltransferase 1b
Exons: 13
Source: RefSeq, a predicted model, not a curated record